AGACCUACGGGACGCAGCAGUGGGGAAUAUUGGACAAUGGGGGAGACCCUGAUCCAGCGACGCCGCGUGAGUGAAGAAGUAUUUCGGUACGUAAAGCUCUAUCAGCAGGAAAGAAAAUGACGGUACCUGACUAAGAAGCCCCGGCUAACUACGUGCCAGCAGCCGCGGUAAUACGUAGGGGGCAAGCGUUAUCCGGAUUUACUGGGUGUAAAGGGAGCGUAGACGGCAGCGCAAGUCUGGAGUGAAAUGCCGGGGCCCCACCCCGGAACUGCUUUGGAAACUGUGCAGCUCGAGUGCAGGAGAGG
RNAcentral lists this ribosomal RNA (305 nucleotides) under uncultured bacterium. RNAcentral describes it as "bacterial SSU rRNA". It matches the Rfam family "Bacterial small subunit ribosomal RNA", at positions 335 to 657 of the family's 1533-position model. The record is from RNAcentral.